Molecule: ribosomal RNA, 253 nt
Filed under: uncultured bacterium
Lineage: Bacteria
Description: partial 16S ribosomal RNA
Rfam family: Bacterial small subunit ribosomal RNA
Source: RNAcentral
UACGGGGGGGGCAAGCGUUGUUCGGAAUUACUGGGCGUAAAGGGCUUGUAGGUGGCCAACUAAGUCAGACGUGAAAUCCCUCGGCUUAACCGGGGAACUGCAUCUGAUACUGGAUGGCUUGAGUUUGGGAGAGGGACGCGGAAUUCCAGGUGUAGCGGUGAAAUGCGUAGAUAUCUGGAGGAACACCGGUGGCGAAGGCGGCGUCCUGGACCAACACUGACACUGAGGAGCGAAAGCCAGGGGAGCAAACGGG